AACGAACGCUGGCGGCAUGCCUAACACAUGCAAGUCGAACGAGAACUUCGGGUCUAGUGGCGCCCGGGUGCGUAACGCGUGGGAACAUGCCCUUAGGUUCGGCAUAACUCUCCGAAAGGGGUGCUAAUACCGGACAAUGUCUUCGGACGAAAGAUUUAUCGACUUGGGAUGGGCCCGCGUUGGAUUAGCUAGUUGGUAGGGUAAAAGCCUGCCAAGGCGACGUUCCAUAGCUGGUUUGGGAGGAUGCUCAGCCACACUGGGACUGAGACACGGCCCAGACUCCUACGCGAGGCAGCAGAGUAGAAUAGAGUACGAGGGGCGAAGGCCUGAUCCAGCAAUGCCGCGUAAGUGAUGAAGGCCGUAGUGAUGUAAAGCUCUUUUACCCGGGAUGAUAAUGACGGUACCGGGAGAAUAAGCUCCGGCUAACUCCGUG
Molecule: ribosomal RNA, 433 nt
Filed under: uncultured bacterium
Lineage: Bacteria
Description: partial 16S ribosomal RNA
Rfam family: Bacterial small subunit ribosomal RNA
Source: RNAcentral